Molecule: ribosomal RNA, 497 nt
Filed under: uncultured bacterium
Lineage: Bacteria
Description: partial 16S ribosomal RNA
Rfam family: Bacterial small subunit ribosomal RNA
Source: RNAcentral
GAUGAACGCUGGCGGCGUGCCUAAUACAUGCAAGUCGAGCGAACGGACGAGAAGCUUGCUUCUCUGAUGUUAGCGGCGGACGGGUGAGUAACACGUGGAUAACCUACCUAUAAGACUGGGAUAACUUCGGGAAACCGGAGCUAAUACCGGAUGAUAUUUUGAACCGCAUGGUUCAAAAGUGAAAGACGGUCUUGCUGUCACUUAUAGAUGGAUCCGCGCUGCAUUAGCUAGUUGGUAAGGUAACGGCUUACCAAGGCAACGAUGCAUAGCAGACCUGAGAGGGUGAUCGGCCACACUGGAACUGAGACACGGUCCAGACUCCUACGGGAGGCAGCAGUAGGGAAUCUUCCGCAAUGGGCGAAAGCCUGACGGAGCAACGCCGCGUGAGUGAUGAAGGUCUUCGGAUCGUAAAACUCUGUUAUUAGGGAAGAACAUAUGUGUAAGUAACUGUGCACAUCUUGACGGUACCUAAUCAGAAAGCCACGGCUAACUACGUG